Molecule: transfer RNA, 70 nt
Filed under: Nitrospiraceae bacterium
Lineage: Bacteria; Pseudomonadati; Nitrospirota; Nitrospiria; Nitrospirales; Nitrospiraceae
Description: tRNA-Lys
Rfam family: tRNA (bases 6-60)
About the family: Transfer RNA (tRNA) molecules are approximately 80 nucleotides in length. Their secondary structure includes four short double-helical elements and three loops (D, anti-codon, and T loops).
Source: RNAcentral
AUGCCUUGGCUAAGUGAGCAGCUGACUCUUAAUCAGCGAGCCGUAGGUUCAACCCCUACACGGCCCACCA